UCCCGGUGAUAAACUCCCACGACCUACCCCGACUCAGAGUCUCCAUAGACCCCGAGGAUGGAGGUCACAGUGCCCCGAACCCUCCUCCUGCUGCUCUCGGGGGCCCUGGUCCUGACCGAGACCUGGGCGGGCUCCCACUCCAUGAGGUAUUUUUCUACCGCUGUGUCCCGGCCCGGCCGCGGGGAGCCCCGCUUCAUCUACGUCGGCUACGUGGACGACACGCAGUUCGUGCGGUUCGACAGCGACGCCGCGAGUCCGAGGGUGGAGCCGCGGGCGCCGUGGGUGGAGCAGGAGGGGCCGGAGUAUUGGGACCGGGAGACACGGAAGGCCAAGGGCCACGCACAGACUGUCCGAGUGAACCUGCAGGCCCUGCGCGGCUACUACAACCAGAGCGAGGCCGGUGAGUGACCCCGGGCUCGGGUCACAGGUCACGACCCCUCCCCACCCCGCACGGACGGGCCGGGGUCUCCUAGUCUCUGGGUCGGAGCUCACCCCGAAGCCGCAGGACCUGCCCUGCCCCUCAACCCGAGAAGAGCUCGAGGGAAUUCGCUCCGGGUUCCCUUUCGAUUGGGGGGCGGGGGUGGGACUGAGUGGGCGUGGCUGACCUCGGGGCGGGGCCAGGGUCUCACACACUCCAGUUGAUGUACGGCUGUGACAUCGCGCCCGGCUGUGACAUCGCGCCCGACGGUCGCCUACUCCGCGGGUACUGGCAAUACGCCUACGACGGCGCCGACUACCUCUCCCUGAACGAGGACCUGCGUUCCUGGACCGCGGCGGACACCGCGGCUCAGAUCUCCAAGCGCAAAGCCGAGGAGGCCGGUGAUGCGGAGCACCAGAGGGCCUACCUGGAGGGAACGUGCGUGGACUGGCUCCGCAGAUACCUGGAGCACGGGAAGGACACGCUGCAGCGCGCGGAUCCCCCAAAGACACAUGUGACCCACCACCCCAUCUCUGACCGGGAGGCCACCCUGAGGUGCUGGGCCCUGGGCUUCUACCCUGCGGAGAUCACACUGACCUGGCAGCGGGAUGGGGAGGACCAGACCCAGGACACGGAGUUUGUGGAGACCAGGCCUGCAGGGGAUAGAACCUUCCAGAAGUGGGCGGCUGUGGUGGUGCCUUCUGGAGAGGAGCAGCGAUACACGUGCCGUGUGCAGCACAAGGGGCUGCCGGAGCCCCUCACCCUGAGAUGGGAGCCGCCUUCCCAGCCCAGCGUCCCCAUGGUGGGCCUCCCUCCUGGCCUGAUUCUCCUUGGAGCUGUGCUCACUGGAGCUGUGGUAGCCGGAGCUGUGGUUGCCACUUUGAUGUGGCAGAAGAUGAGCUAAGGUGGAAAGGGAGGGACAUACAUUUAGGCUGCCAGGCACUGAUGUGUCUCUCAUGGCUUGGAAAGGUAAGAUGCUGGGGGGCCUCAUGUGGCAGGGGGCGGAACAGAGGGGACAUGAAUGCUCCACAGAGGUGAGGCUGGGAUGUCUCCAUUCCUGUCUUAACUUCCUGGUGCACUGAGCCACAUCUUCUUACUUGUCAUAUUCUUGCCAUAAAGUGUCAUUGAGGAAGCUGAGCUCAGAGCUAGAAAGAUAGACAAAUGAUUCCAAGUAUUUCUCCAGCAAAUGUAGCCUGUUCACCUGUAAUCUUGAUCAUGGCCCUCAGAGAUGAAUAUUGUUUUCAUAUUGCUGUGGUUUGAAUGUCCCCUUGAAAAGUCAUGUUGAAACUUAAUCCCUAAUGUAGCAGUACUGAAAGGUGGCGCCUUUAAGAGGUGAUUGAAGGCCAGGCAUGGUGGCUUAU
RNA transcript from Propithecus coquereli (Coquerel's sifaka), 1779 nucleotides. It is a transcript of the gene named HLA class I histocompatibility antigen, alpha chain G-like, with no coding region annotated. Lineage: Eukaryota; Metazoa; Chordata; Mammalia; Primates; Indriidae. The transcript has 6 exons. The record is from RefSeq and is a predicted model, not a curated record.